UGGGGAAUAUUGCACAAUGGGCGCAAGCCUGAUGCAGCCAUGCCGCGUGUAUGAAGAAGGCCUUCGGGUUGUAAAGUACUUUCAGCGGGGAGGAAGGGAGUAAAGUUAAUACCUUUGCUCAUUGACGUUACCCGCAGAAGAAGCACCGGCUAACUCCGUGCCAGCAGCCGCGGUAAUACGGAGGGUGCAAGCGUUAAUCGGAAUUACUGGGCGUAAAGCGCACGCAGGCGGUUUGUUAAGUCAGAUGUGAAAUCCCCGGGCUCAACCUGGGAACUGCAUCUGAUACUGGCAAGCUUGAGUCUCGUAGAGGGGGGUAGAAUUCCAGGCGUAGCGGUGAAAUGCGUAGAGAUCUGGAGGAAUACCGGAGGCGAAGGCGGCCCCCUGGACGAAGACUGACGCUCAGGUGCGAAAGCGUGGGGAGCAAACAGG
This 429-nucleotide ribosomal RNA is filed under the name Chloroflexota bacterium. Its description in RNAcentral is "Chloroflexi bacterium partial 16S ribosomal RNA". It matches the Rfam family "Bacterial small subunit ribosomal RNA", at positions 355 to 776 of the family's 1533-position model. The record is from RNAcentral. Lineage: Bacteria; Bacillati; Chloroflexota.